UUACCCUUUCAUUCGAAUGCCUUGCUGCCCAUUCCAGAUGCAUGAGCAGCAGAUACACAGUUUAUAGAGAGCAGGGUCCUCUGCUGCACACAAGUGCGUGUCGAUUCUCUGCAUCUUCACCUGGAGACCACCGACUCAGACUCGGAGCUCCAGAUACCGAUUUCUUGCUCAGACGACUUCAGUUCACAGCGCCUUUCAUGGGGCCACUUUCUCAGAGCUUCCUGCUAAUGUGCACCCUGGGAGGCAGCAGAUGCUGGCUCAAGUACUUGGCUCCCUGUCACCCACAUGGCAGACCUGGAUUGAUUUCUGGGAUCCUGACCCAACCUUGCCAUUGUGGGCAUUUGAAAAAAAUCUCCAGCUGCACUAUUUAAAUGGAAGUCCUUCACAGUCAGUCACCUGUGGGUACUGCAUACUUACUUGAAAUGUGGCUGGUGCAACUUGAAAUAUGCUCUAUAUUUAAAAUAUACUCUGGAGACUGAAGACUUGGUGAGAAAAAGACACCUGCAAAACAGCUAGCAAAACUAGAUACUCGAAAGGCCUGCAAGGUUUCUGGAGAACUCCUUGUGCCAAGUUCCUUCAGCAACCAGACCAGAUACAAGCCCAGCCCUAUGCAUGCCAUGCACACAGUCUUCAUAAGAACAGGCUGCCACCACCUCUUGGCUUCAAUAAAGCAACCUGUCUCUAUUGA
Molecule: non-coding RNA, 688 nt
Organism: Oryctolagus cuniculus (rabbit)
Lineage: Eukaryota; Metazoa; Chordata; Mammalia; Lagomorpha; Leporidae
Source: RefSeq, a predicted model, not a curated record